RNAcentral lists this signal recognition particle RNA (300 nucleotides) under Callithrix jacchus (white-tufted-ear marmoset). Its description in RNAcentral is "Metazoan signal recognition particle RNA (ENSCJAG00000061757.2)". It matches the Rfam family "Metazoan signal recognition particle RNA". Rfam says of the family: The signal recognition particle (SRP) is a universally conserved ribonucleoprotein. Lineage: Eukaryota; Metazoa; Chordata; Mammalia; Primates; Cebidae. The record is from Rfam by way of RNAcentral.
GCUGGGCAUGGUGGCGCAUGCCUGUAAUCCCAGCUACUCAGGAGGCUGAGGCAGGAGAAUUGCCUGAGCCCAGGAGGCGGAGGUUGCAGUGAGCUGAAAUCGCACCAUUGCACUCCAGCCUGGGUAACAAGAGUGAAACUCCAUCUUAUAAAAAAAAACAAACAACAAACAAAUAAAUAGGAUGCCUAAUCUUUUUUUUGAAAUGGAGUCUUGCUCUGUUGCCCAAGCUGGAGUGCAGUGGCAGGAUCUCAGCUCACUGCAACCUCUGCCUCCCGGGUUUCAGCUAUUCUCCUGCCUCAG